UAAUAAUAUAUAAAUUAUAUUUAAAAGAAUAAUGAUGGGGUUUUUUUAUCUUGUAUUACAUCACAAGUGUUUGUAAUUUGAACGGUAGAAAACUCUUUAAUAUUGUAAGAGUAAGAGAAGUCUACAUGUGACCGAUAACUACAUAGAGGAGAUGACCAAACCAAAAUUUUGUACGACUACAAAUUAAACCUAUGUUGCCUUAUUAUAUUAUAGUAUAG
RNAcentral lists this long non-coding RNA (218 nucleotides) under Daucus carota (carrot). RNAcentral describes it as "long non-coding RNA (DCAR_LNC002462)". The record is from RNAcentral. Lineage: Eukaryota; Viridiplantae; Streptophyta; Magnoliopsida; Apiales; Apiaceae.